This 244-nucleotide ribosomal RNA is filed under the name uncultured Staphylococcus sp. Its description in RNAcentral is "partial 16S ribosomal RNA". It matches the Rfam family "Bacterial small subunit ribosomal RNA", at positions 96 to 334 of the family's 1533-position model. The record is from RNAcentral. Lineage: Bacteria; Bacillati; Bacillota; Bacilli; Caryophanales; Staphylococcaceae.
CGGCGGACGGGUGAGUAACACGUGGGUAACCUACCUAUAAGACUGGAAUAACUCCGGGAAACCGGGGCUAAUGCCGGAUAACAUGUUGAACCGCAUGGUUCUACAGUGAAAGGCGGCUUUGCUGUCACUUAUAGAUGGACCCGCGCCGUAUUAGCUAGUUGGUGAGGUAACGGCUCACCAAGGCAACGAUACGUAGCCGACCUGAGAGGGUGAUCGGCCACACUGGAACUGAGACACGGUCCAG